Long non-coding RNA from Pseudoliparis swirei, 399 nucleotides. RefSeq lists it as uncharacterized. The record is from RefSeq and is a predicted model, not a curated record. Lineage: Eukaryota; Metazoa; Chordata; Actinopteri; Perciformes; Liparidae. The transcript has 3 exons.
CUACACAGCUGGCAGAGCCAUUGCUGUAAGCUUGGUACAUGGUGGUCCGCCACCAAACUUCCUCUCGCCAACAAUAUUUUCUCUUCUGGUUGAUGGUUCAGCAAAGCCAGUGCUAGACGACAUAGCUGACAAUGAACUUUUGGAAAAAGUAAAAAAGGUAUCUGAAAGUACAACCCUUGAGGACCUUGAGAUGACAACGGCACCUCUGCUUGACUACUUGGCCAAUGCAGGAUGUCUGAGGCCUAUGCGCUCUAUAAGAGACAGGGAUUUGCUGGUACAUGACAUUGUCAUGUUCCAGAUCAUCCACAGGGUUCAAGGUCCAUUUCAAAGAUUCUGUGAAGGACUGAAAACGCUUGGGGUUCUGGAGAAAAUCCAAAGGCAUCCAGACAGCUUUCGUCC